UAGCUAGUUGGUGAGGUAACGGCCCACCAAGGCGACGAUCGGUAGCCGGACUGAGAGGUUGAACGGCCACAUUGGGACUGAGACACGGCCCAGACUCCUACGGGAGGCAGCAGUGGGGAAUAUUGCACAAUGGGGGAAACCCUGAUGCAGCGACGCCGCGUGGAGGAAGAAGGUCUUCGGAUUGUAAACUCCUGUUGUUGGGGAAGAUAAUGACGGUACCCAACAAGGAAGUGACGGCUAACUACGUGCCAGCAGCCGCGGUAAAACGUAGGUCACAAGCGUUGUCCGGAAUUACUGGGUGUAAAGGGAGCGCAGGCGGGAAGACAAGUUGGAAGUGAAAUCUAUGGGCUCAACCCAUAAACUGCUUUCAAAACUGUUUUUCUUGAGUAGUGCAGAGGUAGGCGGAAUUCCCGGUGUAGCGGUGGAAUGCGUAGAUAUCGGGAGGAACACCAGUGGCGAAGGCGGCCUACUGGGCACCAACUGACGCUGAGGCUCGAAAGUGUGGGUAGCAAACAGGAUUAGAUACCCUGGUAGUCCACACCGUAAACGAUGAUUACUAGGUGUUGGAGGAUUGACCCCUUCAGUGCCGCAGUUAACACAAUAAGUAAUCCACCUGGGGAGUACGACCGCAAGGUUGAAACUCAAAGGAAUUGACGGGGGCCCGCACAAGCAGUGGAGUAUGUGGUUUAAUUCGACGCAACGCGAAGAACCUUACCAAGUCUUGACAUCCCUUGACGAUGCUGGAAACAGUAUUUCUCUUCGGAGCAAGGAGACAGGUGGUGCAUGGUUGUCGUCAGCUCGUGUCGUGAGAUGUUGGGUUAAGUCCCGCAACGAGCGCAACCCUUAUGGUCAGUUACUACGCAAGAGGACUCUGGCCAGACUGCCGUUGACAAAACGGAGGAAGGUGGGGAUGACGUCAAAUCAUCAUGCCCUUUAUGACUUGGGCUACACACGUACUACAAUGGCGUUAAACAAAGAGAAGCAAGACCGCGAGGUGGAGCAAAACUCAGAAACAACGUCCCAGUUCGGACUGCAGGCUGCAACUCGCCUGCACGAAGUCGGAAUUGCUAGUAAUCGUGGAUCAGCAUGCCACGGUGAAUACGUUCCCGGGCCUUGUACACACCGCCCGUCACACCAUGAGAGCCGGGGGGACCCGAAGUCGGUAGUCUAACCGUAAGGAGGACGCCGCCGAAGGUAAAACUGGUGAUUGGGGUGAAGUCGUAACAAGGUAA
Molecule: ribosomal RNA, 1232 nt
Filed under: metagenome
Description: bacterial SSU rRNA
Rfam family: Bacterial small subunit ribosomal RNA
Source: RNAcentral